RNAcentral lists this ribosomal RNA (502 nucleotides) under uncultured bacterium. RNAcentral's name for it is "partial 16S ribosomal RNA". It matches the Rfam family "Bacterial small subunit ribosomal RNA", at positions 899 to 1397 of the family's 1533-position model. The record is from RNAcentral.
ACUCAAAGGAAUUGACGGGGGCCCGCACAAGCGGUGGAACAUGUGGUUUAAUUCGACGCAACGCGAAGAACCUUACCUGGGCUUGAACUACUCGUGGUAGCUCGCUGGAAACAGUGGGCGACCCGCAAGGGAGCGAGCAGAGGUGCUGCAUGGUUGUCGUCAGCUCGUGUCGUGAGAUGUUGGGUUAAGUCCCGCAACGAGCGCAACCCCUACUCGAUGUUGCUAAUCCCGCAAGGGAUGCACUCUUCGAGAACUGCCUUCGAUAAGAAGGAGGAAGGUGGGGACGACGUCAAAUCCUCAUGGCCCUUAUGUCCAGGGCAACACACGUGUUACAAUGGCCGGUACAAUGGGAAGCAAUACCGUAAGGUGGAGCCAAACCCACAAAGCCGGCCCCAGUUCAGAUUGUGGGCUGCAACUCGCCCACAUGAAGGCGGAAUCGCUAGUAAUCGCUGAUCAGCAGGCAGCGGUGAAUACGUUCCCGGGCCUUGUACACACCGCCCGU